AUGGUAACACAUCCAUCAGCUCGGAAAGAAUCAAGUCAAAUUAAGCAUAACUGUGAAUUGUGUAGCCACGGUGAAAACAAUGAUAUUUCUGUAUACGAUGUGACAGUUCAGUCAGAAACUGGAAACAGUUAUGCAUUUUGUAAAUGGCGUGGUAAAAGAGCUGAGGUACUUAAUACAGAGAAGAAAAUGAGCGUCUGUGGAGGGGACCUGGCGGCUGGUAAAAAUCAAAGUGACCCCAAGAAAAUGGUUCCUCCCCAAAGGAGGUAGAAGAAGACAGUGAAGAUGAGGAAAUGUCAGAAGAUGAAGAUGAUGAUAGCAGUGGAGAAGAGGUUAUCAUUCCUCAGAAAAAAGGCAAGAAGGCUACCACAACUCCAGCAAAGAAGGUGAUCGUUUCCCCAACAAAAAACGUCACAGUUUCCACUCCGGCCAAGAAAGCAUUGUUGUCAUCCCUGGCAAAAAGACAGUGGCUACACCAGCCAAAAAGACAGUUGUGCCAGCCAAAGCAGUAGCAACACCUGGCAAGAAGGGGGUCACACCAGGCAAGGCAUUGGUAGCCACCCCUGGUAAGAAAGGAGCAGCCACCCUAGCCAAGGGAGCAAAGAAUGGUAAGAAUGCCAAGAAGGAAGACAGUGACGAGGAAGAUGAUGAUGACGUGAAGAGGAGGACUAGGAGGAUGAGGAUGAAGAUAAGGAUGAAUUCGAGCCAGCAGUGAUGAAAGCAGCUGCUGCUGCUGCCCUGAUGAUGAGGAUGAUGAUGAAGAGGAGGAGGAUGAAGACGAUGAGGAGGAUGAUGAAGAUGAGGAUGAAGAUGACUCUGAAGAAGAAUCUAUGGAGACUACACCAGCCAAAGGGAAGAACGCCCUUGCAAAACUCUUCCUGUGAAGGCCAAGAGCACAGCUGAGGACGAAGAUGAAGAGGAUGAUGAUGAGGAUAAAGAUGAUGAUGAGGAGGAUGAGGAAGAUGAGGAUGAUGAUGAGGAGGAAGAUGAGGAGGAGGAGGAGGAAGAAGAGGAAGAGCCUGUUAAAGAAGCACCUGGAAAACGAAAGAAGGAAAUGGCCAAACAGAAAGCAGCUCCAGAAGCCAAGAAGCAGAAAGUAGAAGCUACAGAACCAACUACAUCAUUCAAUCUUUUUGUUGGAAACCUGAACUUCAGCAAAUCUGCUCGUGAAUUAAAAACGGGCAUCAGUGACCUUUUUGCUAAAAAUGAUCUUGUCGUUGUGGGUGUCAGAAUUGGUGUGUCUAGGAAGUUUGGCUAUGUGGAUUUUGAAUCUGCUGAAGACCUGGAAAAAGCCUUGGAACUCACUGGUUUACAAGUCUCUGGCAACGAAAUUAAACUAGAAAAACCAAAGGGAAAAGACAGUAAGAAAGAUCGAGAAACAAGAACACUUUUGGCUAAAAAUCUGCCUUACAAAGUUACUCAGGAUGAAUUAAAAGAAGUAUUUGAAGAUGCUGCGAAGAUCAGAUUAGUCAGCAAGGAUGGAAAGAGUAAAGGGAUUGCUUAUAUUGAAUUUAAGACCGAAGCUGAUGCAGAAAAAGCCUUGGAAGAAAAGCAGGGCACAGAGAUUGAUGGGCGGGCUAUCUCCCUGUUCUACACUGGAGAGAAGGGUCAAAGUCAUGACUCUAGAGGUGGCAAGAAUAGCAGUUGGAGUGGUGAAUCAAAAACACUGGUUUUAAGCAGCCUCUCUUACAAUGCAACAGAAGAAACCCUUCAGGAAGUAUUUGAGAAGGCAACUUUUAUUAAAGUGCCCCAGAACCAAAAUGGCAAAUCUAAAGGGUAUGCAUUUAUAGAAUUUGCUUCAUUUGAAGAUGCUAAAGAAGCUUUAAAUUCCUGUAAUAAAAGGGAAAUUGAGGGCAGAGCAAUCAGACUGGAGUUGCAAGGACCCAGUGGAUCAUCUAAUGCCAGAAGCCAGCCGUCCAAAACUUUGUUUGUCAAAGGUCUGUCUGAGGAUACCACAGAAGAGACAUUAAAGGAGUCGUUUGAUGACUCUGUUCGGGCAAGGACAGUCACUGACUGGGAGACUGGGUCUUCUAAAGGGUUUGGUUUUGUAGACUUCAACAGUGAGGAAGAUGCCAAAGCUUCCAAGGAGGCCAUGGAAGAUGGUGAAAUUGAAGGAAACAGUUACUUUGGACUGGGCCAAGCCUAAGGGUGAAGGUGGUUUUGGAGGUCGUGGUGGAGGCCAUGGUGGCUUUGGAGGCCAAGGUGGUGGCAGAGGAGGCCGAGAUGGAUUUGGUGGCAGAGGCUGGGGAGGCUUUGGAGGGUGAGGAGGCUUCCGAGGAGGCAGAGGAGGAGGGGGAGACCCAAGCCACAAGGAAAGAAGACGAAGUUUGAAUAGUUUCUUCCAUCCCUC
Non-coding RNA from Leptonychotes weddellii (Weddell seal), 2347 nucleotides. NCBI's taxonomy places the organism in Eukaryota, Metazoa, Chordata, Mammalia, Carnivora, Phocidae. The record is from RefSeq and is a predicted model, not a curated record.